GACGAACGCUGGCGGCGUGCUUAACACAUGCAAGUCGAACGGAAAGGCCCUGCUUUUGUGGGGUGCUCGAGUGGCGAACGGGUGAGUAACACGUGAGUAACCUGCCCUUGACUUUGGGAUAACUUCAGGAAACUGGGGCUAAUACCGGAUAGGAGCUCCUGCUGCAUGGUGGGGGUUGGAAAGUUUCGGCGGUUGGGGAUGGACUCGCGGCUUAUCAGCUUGUUGGUGGGGUAGUGGCUUACCAAGGCUUUGACGGGUAGCCGGCCUGAGAGGGUGACCGGCCACUGGGGGACGGAGAGAGGGCCCAGCCCCCAAGGGGGGGGAGGGGGGGGAAAUUUUGCAAAGGGGGGGGACGCUGGGGGCAGAAACCCCCGGGGGGGAAAGCGGCCUUUGGGGGGGAAAACAGUUUUCGCUGGGACAGAAGCGGGGUGGACGGAAAUGGGUAAAAAAGCCCGGGCUACCUACGG
Molecule: ribosomal RNA, 467 nt
Filed under: uncultured bacterium
Lineage: Bacteria
Description: partial 16S ribosomal RNA
Rfam family: Bacterial small subunit ribosomal RNA
Source: RNAcentral